UACGCGCGGAUCUUCCAGAGAUUAGAGUUUGAUCCUGGCUCAGGGUGAACGCUGGCGGCGUGCUUGACACAUGCAAGUCGAACGGUAUGUGGCAACACAUAGAGUGGCGAACGGGUGAGUAACACGUGGGAACGUACCCUACGCAGGGGGAUAACUGACCGAAAGGACAGCUAAUACCGCAUAAGACCGAAAGGUGAAAGGUGCAACUGCACCGGCGAAGGAGCGGCCCGCGGACCAUCAGCUAGUUGGUGGGGUAAGAGCCUACCAAGGCGACGACGGAUAGCCGGCGUGAGAGCGUGGCCGGCCACAAGGACACUGAGAUACGGGUCCUACUCCUACGGGAGGCAGCAGUGCGGAAUUUUAGAUAAUGGAGGCAACUCUGAUCUAGCGACGCCGCGUGCAGGAAGAAGGUCUUCGGAUUGUAAACUGCUGUGGUAAGGGAAAAAUGCCAUGUAGAGUGGAAAGCUACAUGGAGGGAUGGUACUUUACUAGAAAGCCCCGGCUAACUACGUGCCAGCAGCCGCGGUAAUACGUAGGGGGCGAGCGUUACCCGGAAUCACUGGGCGUAAAGGGAGCGUAGGUGGCCUGACAUGUCAACUGUGAAAACCCGGAGCUCAACUCCGGACUUGCAGUUGAAACUGCCAGGCUUGAGGACGGUAGAGGAAGACGGAACUGCCAGUGUAGGGGUAAA
Molecule: ribosomal RNA, 691 nt
Filed under: uncultured bacterium
Lineage: Bacteria
Description: bacterial SSU rRNA
Rfam family: Bacterial small subunit ribosomal RNA
Source: RNAcentral